CGCCAGACUCCUACGGGAGGCAGCAGUGGGGAAUAUUGCACAAUGGGGGAAACCCUGAUGCAGCGACGCCGCGUGAGUGAAGAAGUAAUUCGUUAUGUAAAGCUCUAUCAGCAGGGAAGAAGAUGACGGUACCUGAGUAAGAAGCCCCGGCUAACUACGUGCCAGCAGCCGCGGUAAUACGUAGGGGGCAAGCGUUAUCCGGAUUUACUGGGUGUAAAGGGAGCGUAGACGGCAGUGCAAGUCUGGAGUGAAAGGCGGGGGCUCAACCCCCGGGACUGCUCUUGGAACUGCAUGGCUGGAGUACAGGAGGGGCAGGCGGAAUUCCUAGUGUAGCGGUGAAAUGCGUAGAUAUUAGGAGGAACACCGGUGGCGAAGGCGGCCUGCUGGACUGUGACUGACGUUGAGGCCCGAAGGCGUGGGGAGCAAACAGGAUUAGAUACCCCCGUACGG
Molecule: ribosomal RNA, 450 nt
Filed under: uncultured bacterium
Lineage: Bacteria
Description: bacterial SSU rRNA
Rfam family: Bacterial small subunit ribosomal RNA
Source: RNAcentral